This 263-nucleotide ribosomal RNA is filed under the name uncultured bacterium. Its description in RNAcentral is "partial 16S ribosomal RNA". It matches the Rfam family "Bacterial small subunit ribosomal RNA", at positions 9 to 270 of the family's 1533-position model. The record is from RNAcentral.
GAGUUUGAUCUUGGCUCAGGAUGAACGCUGGCGGCGUGCCUAACACAUGCGAGUCGAACGGUAACAGGAAGAAGCUUGCUUCUUUGCUGACGAGUGGCGGACGGGUGAGUAAUGUCUGGGAAACUGCCUGAUGGAGGGGGAUAACUACUGGAAACGGUAGCUAAUACCGCAUAACGUCGCAAGACCAAAGAGGGGGACCUUCGGGCCUCUUGCCAUCGGAUGUGCCCAGAUGGGAUUAGCUAGUAGGUGGGUAACGCUCACCU